AUUGAACGCUGGCGGCAGGCCUAACACAUGCAAGUCGAACGGUAACAGGAAGCAGCUUGCUGCUUCGCUGACGAGUGGCGGACGGGUGAGUAAUGUCUGGGAAACUGCCUGAUGGAGGGGGAUAACUACUGGAAACGGUAGCUAAUACCGCAUAACGUCGCAAGACCAAAGAGGGGGACCUUAGGGCCUCUUGCCAUCGGAUGUGCCCAGAUGGGAUUAGCUAGUAGGUGGGGUAACGGCUCACCUAGGCGACGAUCCCUAGCUGGUGUGAGAGGAUGACCAGCCACACUGGAACUGAGACACGGUCCAGACUCCUACGGGAGGCAGCAGUGGGGAAUAUUGCACAAUGGGCGCAAGCCUGAUGCAGCCAUGCCGCGUGUAUGAAGAAGGCCUUCGGGUUGUAAAGUACUUUCAGCGGGGAGGAAGGGAGUAAAGUUAAUACCUUUGCACAUUGACGUUACCCGCAGAAGAAGCACCGGCUAACUCCGUG
Molecule: ribosomal RNA, 490 nt
Filed under: uncultured bacterium
Lineage: Bacteria
Description: partial 16S ribosomal RNA
Rfam family: Bacterial small subunit ribosomal RNA
Source: RNAcentral